Molecule: ribosomal RNA, 393 nt
Filed under: uncultured Sphingobacteriales bacterium
Lineage: Bacteria; Pseudomonadati; Bacteroidota; Sphingobacteriia; Sphingobacteriales
Description: bacterial SSU rRNA
Rfam family: Bacterial small subunit ribosomal RNA
Source: RNAcentral
GAUGACUGUAGGUGAAAGCUUACAUCUCUUCGGAGCAUUUUACGAGGUGGCUGCAUGGUUUGUCGUCAGCUCGUGCCGUGAGGUGUCGGGUUAAGUCCCAUAACGAGCGCAACCCCUACCUUUAGUUGCCAUCAGGUUAAGCUGGGGACUCUAAAGGAACUGCCUACGCAAGUAGUGAGGAAGGCGGGGAUGACGUCAAAUCAGCACGGCCCUUACGUCCAGGGCUACACACGUGCUACAAUGGCCGAUACAGAGGGCAGCUACCUGGUGACAGGAUGCAAAUCUCCAAAGUCGGUCUCAGUUCGGAUCGGAGUCUGCAACCCGACUCCGUGAAGUUGGAUUCGCUAGUAAUCGCGCAUCAGCCAUGGCGCGGUGAAUACGUUCCCGGGCCUU